AUAUAUAUAUAUAUAACUCUACCUUUCACUGCUUCACAUAAGAUCAUUCAGAUGCAAUAAUUGUAUAUAACAUCUGCAGAUUAUGUUUUAUGUCUCCUCGGACCAGGCUUCAUUCCCCUCAAUUACAGCUUCCAUCAUCAAAAUCACCAUCCUCUCAAGCAAUUAAUUCUUUGUGAGUGGAAGGCAUUGAUGUAGAAGGAUAGUAAGUUGAAGCAUAUUGUGUGACAAAAUAUUCUGUAGAAUAGAUUCUAUUUUAUUGUUAUCUUUUCUUUCUUUAUAAAAAGGAGACCUCUUUCUGCUGUCUUUUGAAAAUCUUUCGAAUCUCUCUUUAACUCUUUCUUUAUUUUAUCUUCUACAAAAUAUAUCCCCCCAUGUGAUCAAAUUAAUUCUAAUUAAGUUUAACGUAAUCACAAACGAUUCUCAGUUACCCAUUUGGGCUAAUAAAAUCUUAUUAUAUAUAUCUUAGUUAUUUUCUAAUCAUUCCAUUUAUAUGUAUUAUUGUGUAUGGUAAAUUAUUGACUUUUAUAAUCAUUAUUUAAGUUGCAAGUUUUACAUUUUUUUAUAUUAACUAUGUAUUUGUGUGUGUAUGCAUAUAUUAUAAGUUAAAGAAAGUGAAAAACAAAAGGUAGCUUUAAUAUUAGGUGGUGUCAUCAUUUCACAAAACAAAGAAACUCAUCUGCGAGGAAAGGUUAGCAAAAUAACGAAGAAACUUUAGGCAUAGCUUAUCCAAAUAAGUAAGUAAGGCUUUCUCUGAUAUCGAUUGGAGAUAAUAGUGUCAUGAAUUAGGUUCUUUAAGUCAAUUAAUUAUAAUAUAUUAGAAUUAACAAUUGAUCUACAAAAUGUGACAUUAAUUUAACCAUCGAUAAUGGAAACACAGGUUUUCAGCUUCUAACGAAUUGUUUUGUUGAUUGAUGCAAUGGAAAAAGGAAGAAAAUGAACGUGUGGUUCUGAGAAGCCCUUUUUGCACAGUUCUAUCUCCAUUUUCUUGCCUUCUUCCUUUUGUUUGGUACAUAGUCUCAACAUCCUCAAAAUUAUUGUGCUACUUCUGCUAUAUAGUACACUAUCGAAACCAGAAUAAAGGGAGUGAUGUUUAUUAAGACAAAGCCCCACGAUGUGUGACUCACACCCUUUCUUUUCUUUGUGUUGUCUGAAGGAUACAAUGAUGUAAAUUUGUUAUACAUGGCGAUGUUUUGUUAUGCAUGACUAAACAAGAAACAUUAAUUAUUAAAAUCGAGGUUUUUUUAUUUCACUAGUGGGAUGCAGGUGCGCAACACAGGGACAAAAGGAAAAGAACAAAAAUUUAAUAUAUAGGUGGAACAGAAAGUGAUCACUGGAAAUGUAGGUUUUAUGUGUAUUGCCUCAUAAGUUGUUGGCAGAAUCAUAUCCCAAUUUUACUUUCCCCACUUUUCUCCCACUCAGAUGAACAAACCUAUUAAUAAUCUCAGCCUAACUCUGGUAGUGCAGGAGGAUUUGGUACCAGGGUGAUUAUAACAAGGUUGCAGGUUUUUGCUGUAUUUACUUUAUUUUUUCUUCUUUUGACACUUGUAGGAGUACGGAUUAUAAAUGAUAAAAUGAGUUCUAACUCGUAGCUAACGGAUUUGAAUUAGAAUGAGUUAACAAAAAUUCACUUUUUUUAAAAGUGGAUUAAACUGAACUUGAUUCACUUAAUUCAUGUGUUAAACGGGAUGAAAGUAGGUUGACUUACUUAAUCCACUAACAUUUU
Vigna unguiculata (cowpea) is the source of this 1723-nucleotide long non-coding RNA. The record is from RefSeq and is a predicted model, not a curated record. NCBI's taxonomy places the organism in Eukaryota, Viridiplantae, Streptophyta, Magnoliopsida, Fabales, Fabaceae.